GCGGCAUUCGAACCCAUAACCUUCCGACUCGCAGGCCCGGGCUCCGUCCACUACGUCACGCUGCUUCUGAUGUCCUAGUCUGAGGCUUACGGGCCCCGAAGGUGACCCUGCGAGGAAACCCUGCCACAGGUGGAGAGGGCCACUCCCCUGCCUCUGAGUCCCAGACAUCGCCCCGGCCCAGCCCGUCAGGGCUCUUGGCUCCGGCGGGGAAGCGUUGAAGUGACCGAGGCACCGUUGAGGAAACCCAGAGAAGUGAA
This is a long non-coding RNA of Ornithorhynchus anatinus (platypus), 257 nucleotides long. RefSeq lists it as uncharacterized. Lineage: Eukaryota; Metazoa; Chordata; Mammalia; Monotremata; Ornithorhynchidae. The record is from RefSeq and is a predicted model, not a curated record. The transcript is spliced from 3 exons.